This 445-nucleotide ribosomal RNA is filed under the name uncultured bacterium. RNAcentral describes it as "bacterial SSU rRNA". It matches the Rfam family "Bacterial small subunit ribosomal RNA", at positions 330 to 792 of the family's 1533-position model. The record is from RNAcentral.
CCCAGACUCCUACGGGAGGCAGCAGUGGGGAAUAUUGCACAAUGGGCGAAAGCCUGAUGCAGCGACGCCGCGGGGAGGAAGAAGGUCUUCGGAUUGUAAACUCCUGUCCUUGGGGACGAUAAUGACGGUACCCAAGGAGGAAGCACCGGCUAACUCCGUGCCAGCAGCCGCGGUAAUACGGAGGGUGCGAGCGUUAAUCGGAAUUACUGGGCGUAAAGCGCUCGUAGGCGGUAUGUCAAGUCAAGGGUGAAAUCCCCGCGCUCAACGUGGGAACUGCCUUUGAAACUGGCAAACUGGAGUGUGUGAGAGGAUAGUGGAAUUCCAGGUGUAGGAGUGAAAUCCGUAGAUAUCUGGAGGAACAUCAGUGGCGAAGGCGACUAUCUGGCACAUAACUGACGCUGAGGAGCGAAAGCGUGGGUAGCAAACAGGAUUAGAUACCCCUGUA